Long non-coding RNA from Mustela erminea (ermine), 227 nucleotides. RefSeq lists it as uncharacterized. The transcript is spliced from 3 exons. NCBI's taxonomy places the organism in Eukaryota, Metazoa, Chordata, Mammalia, Carnivora, Mustelidae. The record is from RefSeq and is a predicted model, not a curated record.
UUAAAAAUAGAGCUACCAUAUGAUCCAACAAUUCCUCUUCUGCAUAUAAAUCCAAAGGAAACAAAAUCCUUAUCUCAAAGAGACAUCUGUAUUCCCCUGUUCCCUACAGCAUUAUUCACAGUAGCCAAGGCAUGGAAACAACAAAAGUCUCCAUCAACAGAUGAGGGAAGAAAAUGGAAUGACCCAAGGUAGAAGUCCCAUUCUAAGUGUUUUUCCCUCCAGUUUUA